This 254-nucleotide ribosomal RNA is filed under the name uncultured bacterium. RNAcentral describes it as "partial 16S ribosomal RNA". It matches the Rfam family "Bacterial small subunit ribosomal RNA", at positions 524 to 776 of the family's 1533-position model. The record is from RNAcentral.
UACGUAGGGUGCGAGCGUUAAUCGGAAUUACUGGGCGUAAAGCGUGCGCAGGCGGUUUUGUAAGUCAGAUGUGAAAUCCCCGGGCUCAACCUGGGAACUGCGUUUGAAACUACAAGGCUAGAGUGUAGCAGAGGGGGGGUAGAAUUCCACGUGUAGCAGUGAAAUGCGUAGAGAUGUGGAGGAAUACCAAUGGCGAAGGCAGCCCCCUGGGUUAACACUGACGCUCAUGCACGAAAGCGUGGGGAGCAAACAGG